This is a small nucleolar RNA of Lathyrus oleraceus (garden pea), 84 nucleotides long. RefSeq annotates it as small nucleolar RNA snoR8a. The transcript has a single exon. Lineage: Eukaryota; Viridiplantae; Streptophyta; Magnoliopsida; Fabales; Fabaceae. The record is from RefSeq and is a predicted model, not a curated record.
GUGGUUGUGAUGAUUAUAAACAAUUCCUCGUACUGAAUGCUAUAUGCAUGACAGACACUUUACACCCAUAGAAUAUGAGCAACU